This 428-nucleotide ribosomal RNA is filed under the name uncultured prokaryote. Its description in RNAcentral is "bacterial SSU rRNA". It matches the Rfam family "Bacterial small subunit ribosomal RNA", at positions 355 to 774 of the family's 1533-position model. The record is from RNAcentral.
UGGGGAAUAUUGCGCAAUGGGGGAAACCCUGACGCAGCGACGCCGUGUGAGGGAAGAAGGCCUUCGGGUCGUAAACCUCUGUCGGGAGGGAAGAACCGCCGGUUUCCGAACAGGGAGCCGGCCUGACGGUACCUCUAGAGGAAGCGCCGGCUAACUCCGUGCCAGCAGCCGCGGUAAUACGGAGGGCGCGAGCGUUAAUCGGAAUCACUGGGCGUAAAGCGCGCGUAGGCGGCUUGAUAAGUCGGGCGUGAAAGCCCUCGGCCCAACCGAGGAACGGCGUUCGAUACUGUGAGGCUUGAGUCCUGGAGAGGGUGGCGGAAUUCCGGGUGUAGGAGUGAAAUCCGUAGAUAUCCGGAGGAACACCGGUGGCGAAGGCGGCCACCUGGACAGGUACUGACGCUGAGGUGCGAAAGCGUGGGGAGCAAACA